ACGUGUCGGAUUACUGGGCGUAAGAGCUCGUAGGUGGUUUGUCGCGUCGUCUGUGAAAUUCCGGGGCUUAACUCCGGGCGUGCAGGCGAUACGGGCAUAACUUGAGUACUGUAGGGGAGACUGGAAUUCCUGGUGUAGCGGUGAAAUGCGCAGAUAUCAGGAGGAACACCGGUGGCGAAGGCGGGUCUCUGGGCAGUAACUGACGCUGAGGAGCGAAAGCAUGGGGAGCGAACAGGAUUAGAUACCCUGGUAGUCCAUGCCGUAAACGGUGGGCGCUAGGUGUGGGUUUCCUUCCACGGGAUCCGUGCCGUAGCUAACGCAUUAAGCGCCCCGCCUGGGGAGUACGGCCGCAAGGCUAAAACUCAAAGGAAUUGACGGGGGCCCGCACAAGCGGCGGAGCAUGUGGAUUAAUUCGAUGCAACGCGAAGAACCUUACCUGGGCUUGACAUAUACAGGAUCGCGCCAGAGAUGGUGUUUCCCUUGUGGCUUGUAUACAGGUGGUGCAUGGUUGUCGUCAGCUCGUGUCGUGAGAUGUUGGGUUAAGUCCCGCAACGAGCGCAACCCUUGUCUUAUGUUGCCAGCACGUUGUGGUGGGGACUCGUAAGAAACUGCCGGGGUUAACUCGGAGGAAGGUGGGGAUGACGUCAAAUCAUCAUGCCCCUUAUGUCCAGGGCUUCACACAUGCUACAAUGGUCGGUACAGUGGGUUGCCAGUCCGUGAGGGCGAGCUAAUCCCGCAAAGCCGGUCUCAGUUCGGAUCGGGGUCUGCAACUCGACCCCGUGAAGUCGGAGUCGCUAGUAAUCGCAGAUCAGCAACGCUGCGGUGAUA
RNAcentral lists this ribosomal RNA (828 nucleotides) under Corynebacterium amycolatum. Its description in RNAcentral is "bacterial SSU rRNA". It matches the Rfam family "Bacterial small subunit ribosomal RNA", at positions 540 to 1367 of the family's 1533-position model. Lineage: Bacteria; Bacillati; Actinomycetota; Actinomycetes; Mycobacteriales; Corynebacteriaceae. The record is from RNAcentral.